This 73-nucleotide microRNA precursor is filed under the name Echinops telfairi (small Madagascar hedgehog). Its description in RNAcentral is "miRNA (ENSETEG00000025127.1)". The record is from RNAcentral. Lineage: Eukaryota; Metazoa; Chordata; Mammalia; Afrosoricida; Tenrecidae.
CUGGGGCCGGGCCCGGGGGCGCACUCACCGAACGCGUCCCGGGCCGGGGCUGGGGCCGGGGCCGGGGCCGGGC